AGUGUGUGCGAAAUAUGCGGAAGUUGUGUGGAAGGCGGGCAUCAUGCUGUCAUCGCAUGCACUAAAAGUGUGGCACUCCGCCAAUCCAUGCGGGCCUUUUGGGGAAUCCCUAGAGAAUCUGAACUUAAACACACGGGUGUGGACUGGCUGCAACUGCUGCUACUAUCCCAGACCGAGGAAGUCAGGACCAAACUCAUGCUAAUCAUGUGGCAGGCUUGGAACUUAAGGAAUAAUGUGGUUCACGGUGAUGGGAAAGAUACAAUCUCGGGUUCUGUCCAAUAUCUACUCAGACUCCAUGAUGAUAUACUGAUGGCAGCAUGCGCCCCGGCCAAUGAGGGCGGUAAGAACAAACAAUCUCUGUUCCCGGCCAAGGCACACGGGGUGUCCAUAUCUGAACCAAGUCACUGGAUGACUCCCCCGGCCGGAAGAGCAAAGCUAAAUACAGACGUUGCUUUCCUGGUGGAAACCGGGCCGGGAAGCAUGGGGCGACGCGGUAGCCAGAGACCACAAGGGUCAUGUGUUUUUGUCAGUGGGCCGGCAGCUACCCCUUUGCAGUUCGGUGGAAGAAGCAGAGACUGCAGUUGCAGUGAUGGGGUUAACUGA
Molecule: ribosomal RNA, 603 nt
Filed under: Triticum aestivum (bread wheat)
Lineage: Eukaryota; Viridiplantae; Streptophyta; Magnoliopsida; Poales; Poaceae
Description: partial small subunit ribosomal RNA
Source: RNAcentral